GACGAACGCUGGCGGCGUGCUUAACACAUGCAAGUCGAACGGAAAGGCCCUUCUGGGGUUGCGUGCUCGAGGGACGAACGAGUGAGUAACGCGUGAGUAGCCUUCCCUUGACUGUUGGAUAACGGCAGGAAACGGGAGCUAAUACCGGAUAUGCUCUCCUCCUGCAUGGUGGUGGUUGGAAAGUUUCGGCGGUUGGGGAUGGACUCGCGGCUUAUCAGUUGGUUGGUGGGGGAGUGGCUUACCAAGGCUUUGCCGGGUAGCCGGCUGGAGGGGGUGACCGGCAAAAUUGGGCCUGGGAUCCGCCCAAGCCUCCUCCGGGGGGCAGAAGUGGGGAAUAUUGAACAAUGGGCGGAGGCCUGAUGAAGCAACGCGGCGUGCGGGAUGACGGCCUUCGGGUUGUAAACCGCUUUCGCAUGUGACGAAGCGUGAGUGACGGUACUGGCUAAAGAAGCACCGGCUAACUACGUG
RNAcentral lists this ribosomal RNA (468 nucleotides) under uncultured bacterium. RNAcentral's name for it is "partial 16S ribosomal RNA". It matches the Rfam family "Bacterial small subunit ribosomal RNA", at positions 28 to 507 of the family's 1533-position model. The record is from RNAcentral.